GGGCCGUUAGCUCAAUCGGUGAGAGCGUCCGGCUCAUAACCGGGUGGUUGUAGGUUCAAGUCCUACACGGCCCACCA
Molecule: transfer RNA, 77 nt
Filed under: bacterium
Lineage: Bacteria
Also listed under: 1 other name
Description: tRNA-Met
Rfam family: tRNA
About the family: Transfer RNA (tRNA) molecules are approximately 80 nucleotides in length. Their secondary structure includes four short double-helical elements and three loops (D, anti-codon, and T loops).
Source: RNAcentral